Molecule: small nuclear RNA, 104 nt
Organism: Rhinopithecus bieti (black snub-nosed monkey)
Lineage: Eukaryota; Metazoa; Chordata; Mammalia; Primates; Cercopithecidae
Source: Ensembl
CUGCUCACUUCAGCAGCACCUAUACUAAAACUGGAACAACACAGAGUUUAGCAUGGCCUCUGCACAAGGAUGACACAAAAAUUCAUGAAGUGUUCUGUAUUUUU